Molecule: ribosomal RNA, 257 nt
Filed under: uncultured bacterium
Lineage: Bacteria
Description: partial 16S ribosomal RNA
Rfam family: Bacterial small subunit ribosomal RNA
Source: RNAcentral
UACAGAGGUCUCAAGCGUUGUUCGGAAUCACUGGGCGUAAAGGGUGCGUAGGCGGUGCGGCAAGUCAGAUGUGAAAUCCCGGGGCUCAACCUCGGAACUGCAUCCGAUACUGCCGGACUUGAGGGCUGGAGAGGUGUAUGGAAUUCAUGGUGGAACAGUGAAAUGCGUGGAUAUCAUGAGGAACGCUAAUGGCGUAGGCAGUACACUGGACAGUUCCUGACGGCUGGAGGCACGGAAGGCCCAGGGGAGCAAACGGG